Molecule: non-coding RNA, 74 nt
Filed under: uncultured Eubacterium sp.
Lineage: Bacteria; Bacillati; Bacillota; Clostridia; Eubacteriales; Eubacteriaceae
Description: Fluoride riboswitch
Rfam family: Fluoride riboswitch aptamer (crcB RNA motif)
Source: RNAcentral
UAAAGGGAAUGAGGUUCUCCCUUGAAUUAAUUUUAAUUCUAAACCGCUUUUAAAGCUGAUGACUUCUGCGAUUA